RNAcentral lists this ribosomal RNA (492 nucleotides) under uncultured bacterium. Its description in RNAcentral is "partial 16S ribosomal RNA". It matches the Rfam family "Bacterial small subunit ribosomal RNA", at positions 29 to 507 of the family's 1533-position model. The record is from RNAcentral.
AGUGAACGCUGGCGGUAGGCCUAACACAUGCAAGUCGAACGGCAGCACAGUAAGAGCUUGCUCUUACGGGUGGCGAGUGGCGGACGGGUGAGGAAUACAUCGGAAUCUACUUUUUCGUGGGGGAUAACGUAGGGAAACUUACGCUAAUGCCGCAUACGACCUACGGGUGAAAGCAGGGGAUCUUCGGACCUUUCGCGAUUGAAUGAGCCGAUGUCGGAUUAGCUAGUUGGCUGGGUAAAGGCCCGCCAAGGCGACGAUCCGUAGCUGGUCUGAGAGGAUGAUCAGCCACACUGGAACUGAGACACGGUCCAGACUCCUACGGGAGGCAGCAGUGGGGAAUAUUCGACAAUGGGCGAAAGCCUGACCCAGCAACACCGCGUGGGUGAAGAAGGCCUUCGGGUUGUAAAGCCCUUUUGUUGGGAAAGAAAAGCAGCAGGUUAAUCCACCGCUGUUCUGACGGUACCCAAAGAAUAAGCACCGGCUAACUUCGUG